UUCCACGUGCUGGGGACAGGACACCCCGUAGGGGUAAGGUCACAGGAUUGGUAACAAAGAAAGCUCCCUGAGCUUCUUGCCCCAGACACCUAGCUCUGCGUGCGCAACAAUCCUCGUCUACAGUUUGAGCAGUCCCUCAUCCCCGGGGUGGGGGGGACUUCUCUCCACCCACCCACCCCUCAUCUUGGGACAUAGACUCCAAGCACGAGCGCUCACCCAGACAAUGUGAUGAACACUGUAGACAUCUGAGUCACCCAUGUAGACGCGAAUGGCACGCAGCGUGAAGCCGUACUUCUUGCCAGAGCGUUGGAUGGUGAUGGGGGAGCGGAGCCCGCUGACAGCCGAUUGCUGAUCUCAUAGGAUGUAAACUGGGAUCAGCUGGAUAGCAACUCUGCUACAUCAGAGCCUGUCUAGAGGGAAGACUACACAUGGAAGAACAGGGUCAAGAGACGAAGAGAUUCCUGAUGACAUAGUUUGAGCACCCAGAUACAGCCAUUCCUGAAGUCCCACGGGCAGCCACACCUUCCACGUAUUCCAUGACCAUGCAGAGGUGGCGCCGGGUCUCAAAGGAGCAGAACAUGCCGACCACAAAGGGGUUCUCGGCGAAGGAAAGAAGCCUAUGAAAUAAUCACUUUCAUAUACAAAAAGCUACCAGAAAUCAAUAACAAAAGGCCCACCAAUGGAAGAGAAAAUACAGACAAGAUAUGUGAACUACAAUUAGAGCUCUUAACCAUAUGAAAAGAUGCUGAACCUCACAUAUAGUGGCCGAAGAGCAAAUCAAAACUACCCCAAGAUACAAUUUUUCACCUAGCAGACUGGCCAAAAGGAUCCAAAAAGCUGACACCCUCUGGGUGAAGCUGUGUUGGAACAGGUACUUUUAUGCCUUCCUAUCGGGUGUGUAAAAUGGUACAACCUCCAUGCAAGGUACUCUGGCCUAUAAAAAGAAGUAUAAGUGCAUGUUCCCUGUGAUCCAGUAAUUUCAUUUUCGAAUUAUUGCUACAGAUAUGCAUGUGAAAAAUUACAUAUGUAUCACCUCGCUCAUUGCAAGACUGGAAACAACCCAUAUGUUCAUCUUUAGGAAACUGGUUAAAUAAACACAGGAGAGGCAUCUGCGUAAAGGAAUACUGUGCCACUGUUAAACAGAAAGGAAUCGCUCAGUACACUGAUUCAGUAUUUUAUUAAGUGGGGGAAAAAAGCAAGGAGCAAAAUGUACUGUAAGUUUUUUGGCAAAAUAGGGCUAUCUAAUCGUACUUAGGGGGUGCUCAGUAGCACAUAUACUAAUAUUUGGGGGGAUAUAGGUCAGUGGGGGGA
This is a long non-coding RNA of Prionailurus viverrinus (fishing cat), 1311 nucleotides long. RefSeq lists it as uncharacterized. The transcript has 4 exons. The record is from RefSeq and is a predicted model, not a curated record. NCBI's taxonomy places the organism in Eukaryota, Metazoa, Chordata, Mammalia, Carnivora, Felidae.